ACACUUACCUGGUAGGAGAGAAACCAUGAUAAUGAAGAUGGCUUUCCCAGGGCAAGGCUCAUCCAUUGCAUUCCAGAUGUGCUAACCUCUGUGAUUUCCCCCAAAUGUGGGAAACUCGAGUGUGUAGUUUGUGGUAGUGGGGGACUGCAUCCAUGUUCUCUCCUA
Molecule: small nuclear RNA, 165 nt
Organism: Talpa occidentalis (Iberian mole)
Lineage: Eukaryota; Metazoa; Chordata; Mammalia; Eulipotyphla; Talpidae
Product: U1 spliceosomal RNA
Exons: 1
Source: RefSeq, a predicted model, not a curated record